RNAcentral lists this ribosomal RNA (440 nucleotides) under uncultured bacterium. RNAcentral's name for it is "partial 16S ribosomal RNA". It matches the Rfam family "Bacterial small subunit ribosomal RNA", at positions 338 to 795 of the family's 1533-position model. The record is from RNAcentral.
CCUACGGGAGGCAGCAGUGGGGGAUAUUGCACAAUGGGGGGAACCCUGAUGCAGCGACGCCGCGUGGGUGAAGAAGCGCCUCGGCGCGUAAAGCCCUGUCAGCAGGGAAGAAAAUGACGGUACCUGAAGAAGAAGCCCCGGCUAACUACGUGCCAGCAGCCGCGGUAAUACGUAGGGGGCAAGCGUUAUCCGGAUUUACUGGGUGUAAAGGGGGCGCAGACGGCGAUGCAAGCCAGGGGUGAAAGCCUGGGGCCCAACCCCGGGACUGCUCUUGGAACUGCGUGGCUGGAGUGCAGGAGGGGCAGGCGGAAUUCCUGGUGUAGCGGUGAAAUGCGUAGAUAUCAGGAGGAACACCGGUGGCGAAGGCGGCCUGCUGGACUGCAACUGACGUUGAGGCCCGAAAGCGUGGGGAGCAAACAGGAUUAGAUACCCGGGUAGUC